UACGUAGGGGGCUAGCGUUGUCCGGAAUCAUUGGGCGUGAAGAGCGCGUAGGCGGCCAGAUAAGUCCGGUGUGAAAGUCACAGGCUCAACCUGUGAAUGCCGCUGGAAACUGUAUGGCUAGAGUCCGGAAGGGGCGAGUGGAAUUCCUGGUGUAGCGGUGAAAUGCGCAGAUAUCAGGAGGAACACCUAUUGCGAAGGCAGCUCGCUGGGACGUAACUGACGCUGAGACGCGAAAGCUAGGGUAGCAAACGGG
Molecule: ribosomal RNA, 253 nt
Filed under: uncultured bacterium
Lineage: Bacteria
Description: partial 16S ribosomal RNA
Rfam family: Bacterial small subunit ribosomal RNA
Source: RNAcentral